Molecule: long non-coding RNA, 6673 nt
Organism: Athalia rosae (coleseed sawfly)
Lineage: Eukaryota; Metazoa; Arthropoda; Insecta; Hymenoptera; Athaliidae
Exons: 2
Source: RefSeq, a predicted model, not a curated record
GCGAGCCUCCUCCUCCUCCUCCUCCUCCUCCUCCUCAUCCUCUCCUUCCUAUCCCGAGUCGCACGUAACGCGAUGGGUUCAAACGGCUCUCAAAGAUCCCGACAAAUAUCUUCACGCUGUCGCACCCCAUUUGAUAAACAGCCCGGUGUGUAUUUGUCUCUCCGAUUUCAGAGGACCCGGACAGAACUCGCCGUGCGUUAUACGGUCAAGUUGUCUCCCGGUCCCCGGGGAUCCCGAAGCUUUCGAGAAUAUAACGCAACGAUGUAUACACUAUACGUAUAUAUACAUCUAACGGCGGACAAUCGCAUGGGGAGAUUUUUUUUUACGGGGCGGUUACCAGCGUGCGGGGGAAAAAAAAGAAUAAUUCUUACACGUAGUGUUUUAUACGUCCGCGGAGCGCAUGUAAAUGCGCUCGAACGAAUGGAAUGGAUGAAUUUUACGUAUGCGUUUACGCUGACGAUAUCAAAGGAUAUCCUUGUAACGGAAUAGGUUUCGAGCGAAGAAAGCUGCUGCGUCUGCUACCAACAGCUGGGGGGUGGAAAAAAACGAGCGAACAAAUUAAGGCAUUCAUAUUCCAAGAUCGUUUUAGCUACUCGCUUCUUAUUCUUCCCCUUCUUUUUCACUCCGAUCGUGCUCGGAGAAUUUAUCAUCGCCGCGAUUCGAUUGAUAUAUUUUAUCCUCCUUCGUUUUUUCUCUUUUUUGAAAAUUCGGAUUCCUUCUACUUUUACCGAUUACACGACAGUCGUCGAAAUUUCGAGUUGGUGAGAAAAAAUGGAGUCCGAGACGUCAGAAAAAAGGAAAGGGAACCCUAUUCGGAUACGAAUUUAAUCGACAGACUUGCAAACUUGUCGUCCCUUUUUUCGUUUCGCUUCGAAAAAUUUCUCCCAUUUAAUUUCGACAGCGAUUCAACGGCUGGAGUGAAUCGGCUGAAGUGAAAUGAAAAGGAUAAUGAAAAUAAUAAAAAAAGAGAGAGAAAAAGGGGUACGAUCCGCCGUUGCCGUUGCCGAUCGUAUUAAGCUAUUGAAAAAUACAGGUAUAUACAAGAGGCCGAGAUAAGAAAGCGCGGGAAAAAAUUCAUUCUAUUGCCCUUAAGAUAAAAUCGACUAAUUUAAAAGGACUGCAAUUAGCUUACAAUCGGAAUGAGCGGCUGAUAAAGAUAUUAAGAGUCGUACUACCAUAGAGGUAUACGUUCGUUCGAUAAGUUGAAAUCCAUUUCAAUAUUAUUAUCCUUAUCAAAAACAACUCGGCGACCCAUUUAAUUUAACAACCUCGACGAUGUGAUACGAAUGUAGAAUUUUAUUACGGAGAGUUCAUUAUCAAGAAUUCAUUGCUUCGUUCUAUCGCGACGAUUGCUUUCUUUCUUUUCCUUUUUUUUUUUUCUUAGUAAUUUUUAUUUCACUUCGGACGAAACUUUUGAUUGGAAAUUAAUAGCGGAAUCGAGAUUCCUUUUUUGCGACGAUCGAAAAUAUCCCCACUCCUCUCGUUGUCCCAUUCGACGGGGAAAAAAAAAGUAUCGAACGGCAGCGGCUCGCUACCAGCUGCGCGGUCUCCUCGUCGUUAAAAAAGCACUUUCUAUACGCCAUUCGUUAACGAAUCGAUUAAUAAUCAAACGGGCCACGCUCCGUACGCUCGUCUAGAUAACGGCGAUUUUCUACGCCCGAUAAGUUAGCCGAGUUUGCCCGCCAACCUCGGCGACAUACAUCAUUCCACCUUCUAUCCCCGCUAAUUAGUCGCGUAUACCAAUCAUUACCGCGCGAACGGAUCACCUCUUCGAACUACUUCGAAAUCGGAGGCGCAACGGUGCGGCGAACGAUUGCGAACGAUUGCGUUACACCGCCCUCUCGUUAUUGUCUCAUCGCGUAUCGGCGCGGGAAGCGUUCGAAAGAUCGGCGGAACCGAUCGCCGAUCGGUUUUUUUUCGAUGCGUACGAUAAUUUCAAAAGUCCGCUUCCGAUUUACCAUCUCGAGCGCGCGUCUCUCGCUACGCACGCACUGGACGCGCAUCCUGCGUCAGAACUACGUCAGCUAAAGAGUACGAGACGCUGCGGGUAGCCGGCGGUCAACGACCGAACGCAUCUGCGGGGUCUAUUUUAAAACCUUUUUGACUCGCUCGAAUUACGCACCUUUCGUACAAACGCGUUUUAUAACUGAACAUUUCGAUAUCGUUGAGGUUCGUCGCGAUUUUGACGCGUUCCGCGAUGUCCAUCCGCGUAUCGACGAGUCGUCUGCGUUUCGUCGAAAGCGGAGACUUUUUUUCCGCGGGUCGUCGACUGUGGACGAAGGAGAGACACCCUUGGGGUAAAAGAAAAAAAAAAAGAGGAGCGAACGGUUCACACGGUAAUAAAGAUGAAUUCCCAUGGCUUGUGUGUGCCUACGGAGUUCCAUUCGUUCGAAAGGAUUUUCGGAGGUAACCGGGGGUCCAUUACCGAGGCAAACAUGUCACUCGGAAAAAAAAGUUAGGGUGUACUAAAAUCUCUGCCCGAUGCGAUGAUAUACGUACACAGAACGUCGAGGGGAACGCGUGAAACGUGGCGUAGGUUAGUGUGUACGCUCACGUUCCACUCUUGGAAUAUAAGAAUCGAAGGACCGAGAAAAAUGGAAAUAGGGAUGUACGGGGAUGACGGGGAAAUUGAGUCGCGCACCCGUGGGUCUUCGGUAUUCCUUGAAUAACUAUUUCGUUUCUCUUCCCGCCGGACGCUACGGGAUUCGAAAAUCUCAGCGAUCGGCUGAUCUGAAAAAUUUCGGUGAGAAACCGAUUUCGUUGGAGGUGUGAAAAAAAAAAAAAACACAAAACCGCCACCCAGCUUCGAUAGCGCGAUGAUUUUUCGAGCGUCGAUUUUCCAUCGUUUCGCGAAUCACAUCGCAUUCCCGCCGGAGUUUAACACAUCGGUGUUUAUGAAAUAUCGCGAGGAUAAUAUCGUGGCACUUGAACCGUGCUUCGGAGUUGGUUUAAUUGGAUUCCGUGAUUAUUUGGGGACACGUGGGUGGCGGUUGCCGGUUUCAAUCUCUAAACUCCGUUGAGCGAUAAAUGUGACGUAGGAAACACGUCGGGAGGGGUGGGCGGGGGUGGGCUUUUGUCCGCUACGGACAUAUUCGUUCGAUUGUAUGCGCGCGUUUGAUGAAUUCUUGAUUCGCUGUAAUCAACGUUCUCGCACAGUGUGUCGCCUCGUGGAGGAUCUGGUCGACCGCUUGACGCUCGUCGUCGAACGUUUCCAAAGUCGGAGGUAAUUUUCGAGGCGCGUGGGUGCAGCCGUAGAUAAUUCGAGACGGUUUCUUCCCGAAGCCCCGAAAUAGAUUUUGUAUCUCAACAAAACGAAAAAAAAAAAAAACAAAGCAAAAAAGAAAAAAAAGGCGAGAAACGAGCGUCCUCGUUUUAUAAAUGGGACUCCGAUGCAGCAUUGUUGGGAAAAUAUACCUCCGCCGUUAGGAAUAGAGUGAAAAAGAAAAAAGAAAAAAAAAAGAAGAAGAAAGGGAAAAAUAUGCAGCCGAAAUAUGACGUCGGGGAGGCCGCUGCGCUUCUGGGCAUCCGCGUCGCAAGAUUGUAACACGGAUAGAAAAUAAAAAAAGGCGGUGAAAUGUUUGUUUGGUAUAGAAAUAAAUUAUUAUUUCGUGGCUCUUCUCCCUCCCCGAUUUUCUCGCGCUUCCUCCACGUCCUUCCCACUCCUAAUUUUCUCAUUUUCGCGAAUCCGGUAUUGUUUGGGGGGGAAAAUUGAUCGCCCUCGUUCUCGCCCUCGUGUAAUAAAUCUUCGUACGCUCGGUGUCCCGUCGUCACGACGCCCGAUGACCGCGGUGUGGUCCGUAUAAUGAGAUCGUUCCUCGUCGGACGACGACGACGAUAGGAGGAGGAGGAGGAGGGUGCAGGCGGUUCGAACGAACGAUGUAACCGAUCGUGUUGACUGGCUGUCGACUGUCAACGAAAGCAAAUUUCAUCGCACAGUGUCGAAUUACAAAAGGGUGUUCGCGCUAAUGCGAGAGGAGGUAGAGGAGUACGAGAAGCUGCGACGAGCGAGAAAAAUUUGACGAUACCGACCUCGGAUCCGGAAAUAGCCGAGGUCGUUUUAUCGGAUGGAUUUUGGAAUCGGAAAACCCUUUUUUUUUCGGUUGGAGAGCAGACGAGCUAUCGAAAAAUCGAGAAUGUAGAUCAACAAGUGGAGUUGAACAGGAUUCGGAAAAUGAAUAGGACGGAACUUCAUCUUCUUCGAUCGUCCGGUUUCGAGAGAGUUUCGUCUCGAUUUACACCCCGUACGAGUUACCUGGUUAUCUAAGCGCGACGACGGGUGUCCAGUUAUGCGAAACGUUGACACAGUUUCUAUGAGUAAAAUUUUUAAACGACCGAAUGCAAUAGUGAAGGGGAAAUACGUACUCCCGGAUUUGGAUUCCGCAGAAGAAAAAAAAAAAAAAAAAAACCAGAUGUUCGAACAUCUUCGGCGUAGACUGUUCGGAUUUCAGCCGCGUGCUCCGAUAUUUAAGAGUCGUAAAACGAGCGUUGAAGUCGUGAGAAUGCAUUCUAAAAACAAUGUAAAUUCAAAAGAUAAUGGGCAACGCGAAAACUUUCACCACCGUUGGCAGAAACUCCGUUGAUUUUGGUAUAUUAUUUUUGGAAAGAGUUUCGAACGACUACGUCGUUUUUCAAACACACGUUUUCUCGAAGUGUUGAGAAUUUUAACGUCGUAUCGAAAUUCGAGGGGGGGGGGGGGGUUGCCUUUCCCCCGAUGUUGGUUUUGUACCCCCUUUCGGACGGUUUUUCUCUGCACAUUACACCGCAUAAAGUGCGUUCGUUAAUUUUGUGUGCACGCGGAGGAAACCGCGGACGGCGCGGAUUCGUUCUUUAAACUUUGCAAAAAUAGUGGUAGAUUUUAGAGAAUGAGAAACACAGGAAAGAGUAAACUCCGAUUGUUUGUUGAUUCUUGAGAGUUGUUUACGAGGAGGUUGCUUCACUCGAUCCAUCGGCACAUCAAAGCUCUACGACGUACGUUGCAUGUACCGAAAAUCCCCCGUUGCAGCUUUUUCCCUUCUCUUCAUUUUUUUUUUUUUUUUUCUCAGCAUUUCGAUUCGGCGACUCCUCUCUUUUUUCCCACCGAUUCGCAAAAUACGAUAUCCUCUUUGUUCUCGGGAUUGUUUGUUCGCUCUCCAUAAAAUCGGUCCUAAGCCAAUCCGCGUGUGUUUUUUUGCUGCAAACGUCAGCCGUUCUUAUCCUCUUCCAUAUCAGCGAUCGUCGAUCGAUAAAUCAUCCCGGAGUGCCUUAAUAUUUCAAUAGAAACAAAAAAAGAAAAAAUACUCAAAAAAAGCGAACACGUGGUAGAAUCGAUUCCUGAGAACCGCGUAGUGUUCGAAAAUACGAACCAACUGCACUAGGUGUUGAAAAAUUAUAUUUAAAUAUUUCAACGAAGUUUCUUUUUCAUCCUCUCAGCAGUUUUCACAUUUUUAGAUGUACGCGCCGUUCGCUCUGUCUUCUUCCUUCCCACGUGAAUAAAAUGAUAUUCUCUCGUAGCAAAAAAUUGAAACGUCCGUCGUACGGGUUACGAAUCUACAACGCAGGCUCGAUGUAUCAUCCCUCUGCAUAAAAAUCGCGCGAUUAUCGAAACGGGCGUAAUUGAUAAACCUCGGGUGGGGUGCGGGUCCGCGUUGCGUUUCUCCCUUCGAUAUUCGCGAGUCAGGUUAGUUUCCGACAAUGUUGGGGCUGAACUGCUCGGGUUGACCGGUCAGAAGAGCCUCGGGUAGGCGGGCUACGCGAUCGUAGGGAAGGGUAUUUUUCUCUCGCGGAGGCCACAUAGAGCGAUGUUCGAUGAGCCGUGUAACGAUGACCGGAGAGAGGAGAAGCCCCCGCCGCUUCUAUCCACCUUUCGAUUCUUUGUAUUAUACGUCGAGCUGAAGGCAUGAUUGAUUUUCAAUAGGUCAAUCGCUAAAGAACCGAAGAUAAAGUUAACGAAGCGCGCCUCGUGUAUCGCUGGGUCCUCGGGAUCCGUAAAGCGCCAGGCUCGACACUUUCGAUACAGCGUCAUUUUCGUCGGGAGCUUUCGAUCGAUUUUUUUUUCAAAGUUUCAGAGAAGUUUCGACGUGCUUUUCGCGAGGUCAAUGAGAGCGAAAAUUGCGAAAUUAAUUUUCAACGAUUUUCUUACGAGGGAAGAAAAGAAUAUCAACAGCUGGUAAUUAGAGUCUCAGUGUUUAUCGAUUUUCGCGAGAUUAUUUUUCAUUUAGGUACGUACGUAUAACGGCGGCUCGGAGAGUAUCCGCACCGCGGGACUAUAAUGGCUCGGUUAUCCUUAUAUUCAUUCGUAAUUCCGGUGAUGAUGAUAGGCUGUUAUAGCAGAUACGCGAGUAUAGAUACUAGUAAUUAUCGAACGUUAUUGCAGAAACUUGAACGUAAUUGUGUGUCCCUGCAGUAAAAUACCGCGCGAGCACGCAGCUGAGACCCAUCCGCAUCAGGCUAUCGCUCAAACUGAUUUUGAACCUCAUAACGUAAUUUGCAAUUUAAUCAAUCGAUCGCUCGGAUAGGAUAUGAUACCGUGUACACCUCUAUACCUGUAGCUACGGAUAUGUACAGAAAAGAAUUCUCUUUUAUCGACUUGAAUUUUCAAUCAAUCAUUAUCAUUUUUGUUUUUUUUCUUUUCUUUCUAUAUUCGUUCGUUAUUUCCCAUACCGCAAACUUGGAGUUGAAAAAAGCAAAAGUGAAA